This 824-nucleotide ribosomal RNA is filed under the name uncultured eukaryote. Its description in RNAcentral is "SSU rRNA". It matches the Rfam family "Eukaryotic small subunit ribosomal RNA", at positions 91 to 912 of the family's 1831-position model. The record is from RNAcentral.
GAAUGGCUCAUUAAAUCAGUUAUGGUUCCUUAGAUCGUUCAUAUUACAUGGAUAACUGUGGUAAUUCUAGAGCUAAUACAUGCAAAAAGCUCCGACCGUAUGGGAAGAGCGCUUUUAUUAGACCAAAACCAAUGGAGCCGCAAGGUUCCUUUGUAUGGUGACUCUGGAUAACUUUGUGCUGAUCGCAUGGCCUCGAGCCGGCGACGUAUCUUUCAAAUGUCUGCCCUAUCAACUUUCGAUGGUAAGCGAUUUGCCUACCAUGGUUGUAACGGGUAACGGGGAAUCAGGGUUCGAUUCCGGAGAGGGAGCAUGAGAAAUGGCUACCACAUCUACGGAAGGCAGCAGGCGCGCAAAUUACCCACUCCUAGAUCGGGGAGGUAGUGACGAAAAAUAACAAUACCGGACUCUUAGAGGCUCGGUAAUUGAAAUGAGUACAGUUUAAAACCCUUAACGAGGAUCUAUUGGAGGGCAAGUCUGGUGCCAGCAGCCGCGGUAAUUCCAGCUCCAAUAGCGUAUAUUAAAGUUGUUGCAGUUAAAAAGCUCGUAGUUGGAUCUCGGGUGCCAGCGUAUGGUUCGCUUUACUGCUGUAACUAUACGUCUGGUCCUAAUUAAUCGGUUGGCCAAUUAUGUCCUUUAUUGGGUGUUUUUGGUAGCCGGUACGUUUACUUUGAGAAAAUUAGAGUGCUUAAAGCAGGCCUUACGCCUGAAUAAUGUUGCAUGGAAUAAUAGAAUAGGACCUCGGUUCUAUUUUGUUGGUUUUGUAGAGCAUUGAGGUAAUGAUUAAUAGGGACAGACGGGGGCAUUCGUAUUGCGNUGUUAGAGGU